Molecule: ribosomal RNA, 468 nt
Filed under: uncultured bacterium
Lineage: Bacteria
Description: partial 16S ribosomal RNA
Rfam family: Bacterial small subunit ribosomal RNA
Source: RNAcentral
GAUGAACGCUGGCGGCGUGCCUAACACAUGCAAGUCGAGCGAUCUUCUUCGGAAGAGAGCGGCGGACGGGUGAGUAACGCGUGGGUAACCUGCCCUGUACACACGGAUAACAUACCGAAAGGUAUGCUAAUACGAGAUAAUAUGCUUUUAUCGCACGGUAGAAGUAUCAAAGCUCCGGGGGUACAGGAUGGACCCGCGUCUGAUUAGCUAGUUGGUAAGGUAAUGGCUUACCAAGGCGACGAUCAGUAGCCGACCUGAGAGGGUGAUCGGCCACAUUGGAACUGAGGCGCGGUCCAAACGCCUGCGGGAGGCAGCAGUGGGGAAUAUUGCACAAUGGGCGAAAGCCUGAGGCAGCAACGCCGCGCGAGCGAUGAAGGCCUUCGGGUCGUAAAGCUCUGUCCUCAAGGAAGAUAAUGACGGUACUUGAGGAGGAAGCCCCGGCUAACUACGUGCCAGCCGCCGCCGUAA